RNAcentral lists this ribosomal RNA (447 nucleotides) under uncultured bacterium. RNAcentral describes it as "bacterial SSU rRNA". It matches the Rfam family "Bacterial small subunit ribosomal RNA", at positions 329 to 793 of the family's 1533-position model. The record is from RNAcentral.
CUCCAGACUCCUACGGGAGGCAGCAGUGGGGAAUAUUGCACAAUGGGGGAAACCCUGAUACAGCGACGCCGCGUGAGCGAUGAAGUAUUUCGGUAUGUAAAGCUCUAUCAGCAGGGAAGAAGAUGACGGUACCUGACUAAGAAGCCCCGGCUAACUACGUGCCAGCAGCCGCGGUAAUACGUAGGGGGCAAGCGUUAUCCGGAUUUACUGGGUGUAAAGGGAGCGUAGACGGCGAUGCAAGCCAGAUGUGAAAGCCCGGGGCUCAACCCCGGGACUGCAUUUGGAACUGUGUGGCUGGAGUGUCGGAGAGGCGGGCGGAAUUCCUAGUGUAGCGGUGAAAUGCGUAGAUAUUAGGAGGAACACCAGUGGCGAAGGCGGCCUGCUGGACGAUGACUGACGUUGAGGCUCGAAAGCGUGGGGAGCAAACAGGAUUAGAUACCCGAGUAC